AAUGUGGCUUUACUAGCUUUUAGCCACCAUAAAGAGUGUAAUUUUACUUUUUCUAAUAAGCCUUCAAUGGAUGUUUGGGUAUUAUUAAAAAGUCUGUUGUUGCGUUCAUUCCAAACCAUCCACACACAAAGUAACCAAAUGAGCUGCAUAAAGGAUCUACGCGCCCUCGUAUGACCUGUACAAGUAAUAAACUGAAUAAAAUGGUCACUAAGAUCAUGGGGAUCAGCUUCGGACACGCCAAUCCACGCACGGAUAUGCUGCCAAACUGCGUCAAAAGUAGCACAAUGAAGGAACAAGUGAUUUGCGGUUUCUGCAAU
This 317-nucleotide long non-coding RNA is filed under the name Medicago truncatula (barrel medic). RNAcentral's name for it is "long non-coding RNA (MTRU_LNC004279)". The record is from RNAcentral. Lineage: Eukaryota; Viridiplantae; Streptophyta; Magnoliopsida; Fabales; Fabaceae.